UACAGAGGUCUCAAGCGUUGUUCGGAAUCACUGGGCGUAAAGGGUGCGUAGGCGGCUCGGUAAGUCAGAGGUGAAAUCCCGGAGCUCAACUUCGGAAUUGCCUCCGAUACUGCCGUGCUUGAGGACUGGAGAGGAGAUUGGAAUUCACAGUGGAGCAGUGAAAUGCGUAGAUAUUGUGAGGAACACUAGUGGCGAAGGCGAAGCUCUGGACAGUUCCUGACGCUGAGGCACGAAGGCCAGGGGAGCAAACGGG
Molecule: ribosomal RNA, 253 nt
Filed under: uncultured bacterium
Lineage: Bacteria
Description: partial 16S ribosomal RNA
Rfam family: Bacterial small subunit ribosomal RNA
Source: RNAcentral